This 85-nucleotide transfer RNA is filed under the name Microbispora bryophytorum. RNAcentral's name for it is "tRNA-Arg". It matches the Rfam family "tRNA". From Rfam's summary of the family: Transfer RNA (tRNA) molecules are approximately 80 nucleotides in length. Their secondary structure includes four short double-helical elements and three loops (D, anti-codon, and T loops). Further hydrogen bonds mediate the characteristic L-shaped molecular structure. tRNAs have two regions of fundamental functional importance: the anti-codon, which is responsible for specific mRNA codon recognition, and the 3' end, to which the tRNAs corresponding amino acid is attached (by aminoacyl-tRNA synthetases). tRNAs cope with the degeneracy of the genetic code in two manners: having more than one tRNA (with a specific anti-codon) for a particular amino acid; and 'wobble' base-pairing, i.e. permitting non-standard base-pairing at the 3rd anti-codon position. Lineage: Bacteria; Bacillati; Actinomycetota; Actinomycetes; Streptosporangiales; Streptosporangiaceae. RNAcentral also lists the same sequence under 3 other names. The record is from RNAcentral.
GGAAGGGUACUCGAAGCGGCCCAACGAGGACCGGGGCGACCCGGUCGGGUGCAAGCCCACGCAGGUUCGAAUCCUGCCCCUUCCG